CCUACGGGGGGCAGCAGUGGGGAAUAUUGGGCAAUGGGCGCAAGCCUGACCCAGCAACGCCGCGUGAAGGAAGAAGGCUUUCGGGUUGUAAACUUCUUUUCUCAGGGACGAAGCAAGUGACGGUACCUGAGGAAUAAGCCACGGCCAACUACGUGCCAGCAGCCGCGGUAAUACGGAGGUGGCAAGCGUUAUCCGGAUUUACUGGGUGUAAAGGGCGUGUAGGCGGGAAAGCAAGUCUGAUGUGAAAACCAUGGGCUCAACCUGUGGCCUGCAUUUGAAACUGUUUUACUUGAGUACUGGAGAGGCAGGCGGAAUUCCUAGUGUAGCGGUGAAAUGCGUAGAUAUUAGGAGGAACACCAGUGGCGAAGGCGGUCUGCUGGACAGCAACUGACGUUGAGGCGCGAAAGCGUGGGGAGCAAACAGGAUUAGAUACCCUUGUAGUC
This 443-nucleotide ribosomal RNA is filed under the name uncultured bacterium. Its description in RNAcentral is "partial 16S ribosomal RNA". It matches the Rfam family "Bacterial small subunit ribosomal RNA", at positions 338 to 795 of the family's 1533-position model. The record is from RNAcentral.